RNAcentral lists this ribosomal RNA (347 nucleotides) under uncultured bacterium. RNAcentral's name for it is "partial 16S ribosomal RNA". It matches the Rfam family "Bacterial small subunit ribosomal RNA", at positions 338 to 682 of the family's 1533-position model. The record is from RNAcentral.
CCUACGGGUGGCAGCAGUGAGGAAUAUUGGUCAAUGGCCGGAAGGCUGAACCAGCCAAGCCGCGUGAGGGAGGAAGGCGCAGAGCGUCGCAGACCUCUUUUGCCGGGGGAAAAAAGGCAGGACGCGGCCGGUGCUGAGGGUACCCGGAGAAAAAGCAUCGGCUAACUCCGUGCCAGCAGCCGCGGUAAGACGGAGGAUGCGAGCGUUAUCCGGAUUUAUUGGGUUGAAAGGGAGCGUAGGCCGCAUGUCAAGCGUGCUGUGAAAGGUCCGGGCUCACCCCGGUCCUUGCAGGGCUAACUGGCGUGCUUGCGUCCGCUGCACGCAGGCGGCCUUCGUCUUGUAGCGGU